This 1076-nucleotide long non-coding RNA is filed under the name Mytilus galloprovincialis (Mediterranean mussel). Lineage: Eukaryota; Metazoa; Mollusca; Bivalvia; Mytilida; Mytilidae. The record is from RNAcentral.
UUGGACAGUAGAUGAUUGUUUAAAUGUUACAUGGAAAGGAUUGGAAUUUAAAUUAAUCCGCUUAAAAAGGUCUACAUAUAAUUAGAUUAAAGGUGAGUAUGAUGUCACAAACAUCUUAAGGUUUGACGUUUAUUCAAGACAUUUUACUAUGUACCAUAGUUUGUAUUUUUGUUUUUUUUAAUACAUAGUUUAGACAAUAGAUAAAUAGUGUCUCAUAAGUCAACUUUGAUUGGGUAUGUCUAUUUUCUUUUUUUGUUUGUUAUUUUCGUACAAGUUUCUCAUAGUUUUCGCUAAUAUUGCAAAUUUGACUGUUUAUACACAUAUUUACAAUAAUAGCAAUAAUGUACUACUACUCAUUGUUUGCACAUUAGAGCGCCAACAUUUAAAAAAAAAGUUUUUCGACACUAUAAAUAUUUUUUCUUCUUCAAAAUUAAACACUACAAGGUAUUUGGAAAAAUUCACGCGAAACUGCCUACCCUUCCAGAGUACCUGAGAUCACCCCUAGUUUUUGGCGGGGUUCGUGUUGCUAAGUCUUUAGUUUUCUAUGCAGUGUCAUGUGUACUAUUGUUUCUCUGUUUGUCUUUUUCAUUUUAAGUCUCCCAAAACAAAGUUUGAAGACAUUGUUUUUGCUCAGUUAACUUCUUAUUAUUUUUAUGUCACCCUGACGUAGGUCGGGUGACAUAUUGUUAUUGUACGAUUCUUUUUUUCUUAUUCUUAUUCCACACUUUUUGUCCAGCUUAGUUCUCGGAACUGAAUGGACCAAUGUUGAUGGAACUAUUACAUAAUGUUGAUCACCAUGUGUGGUUGUGCACCUGACUUUGGAAUUUAAAAAUGGCUGCCGUUGCCAUGGAAACAGCAAAAAUGUGAAAAAUUGGAAAGUCUUCCAUAUUGAAUAAAACUUUUAUGAUAUUGAGAGACUUAUGUCCACUUUAACCUGAUAUAUUUUUAUUCCAACUGGGGGUCUCCUUGGCAUAAUUUGAGGGGGGCGAAAUUUCAUGGAACAUUCCAGAACAUUGGUGUUAAAUUAAUUCUACAGCCAUUAAAUGUUAUAUGAUGGUAUACUAUUAUGCGGAGCA